GUGAACGCUGGCGGUAGGCCUAACACAUGCAAGUCGAACGGCAGCACCGUAAGAGCUUGCUCUUACGGGUGGCGAGUGGCGGACGGGUGAGGAAUACAUCGGAAUCUACUUUUUCGUGGGGGAUAACGUAGGGAAACUUACGCUAAUACCGCAUACGACCUACGGGUGAAAGCAGGGGAUCUUCGGACCUUGCGCGAUUGAAUGAGCCGAUGUCGGAUUAGCUAGUUGGCGGGGUAAAGGCCCACCAAGGCGACGAUCCGUAGCUGGUCUGAGAGGAUGAUCAGCCACACUGGAACUGAGACACGGUCCAGACUCCUACGGGAGGCAGCAGUGGGGAAUAUUGGACAAUGGGCGCAAGCCUGAUCCGGCCAUACCGCGUGGGUGAAGAAGGCCUUCGGGUUGUAAAGCCCUUUUGUUGGGAAAGAAAAGCAGCAGGUUAAUACCCCGCUGUUCUGACGGUACCCAAAGAAUAAGCACCGGCUAACUUCGUG
This 491-nucleotide ribosomal RNA is filed under the name uncultured bacterium. Its description in RNAcentral is "partial 16S ribosomal RNA". It matches the Rfam family "Bacterial small subunit ribosomal RNA", at positions 29 to 507 of the family's 1533-position model. The record is from RNAcentral.